This 208-nucleotide ribosomal RNA is filed under the name uncultured bacterium. Its description in RNAcentral is "partial 16S ribosomal RNA". It matches the Rfam family "Bacterial small subunit ribosomal RNA", at positions 568 to 774 of the family's 1533-position model. The record is from RNAcentral.
AGCGUAGACGGCUGUGUAAGUCUGAAGUGAAAGCCCGGGGCUCAACCCCGGGACUGCUUUGGAAACUAUGCAGCUAGAGUGUCGGAGAGGUAAGUGGAACUCCCAGUGUAGCGGUGAAAUGCGUAGAUAUUGGGAGGAACACCAGUGGCGAAGGCGGCUUACUGGACGAUGACUGACGUUGAGGCUCGAAAGCGUAGGGGGGCAAACA